GACGAACGCUGGCGGCGUGCCUAAUACAUGCAAGUAGAACGCACAGUUUAUACCGUAGCUUGCUACACCAUAGACUGUGAGUUGCGAACGGGUGAGUAACGCGUAGGUAACCUGCCUGGUAGCGGGGGAUAACUAUUGGAAACGAUAGCUAAUACCGCAUAAUAUUAAUUAUUGCAUGAUAAUUAAUUGAAAGGUGCAAUUGCACCACUACCAGAUGGACCUGCGUUGUAUUAGCUAGUAGGUGAGGUAACGGCUCACCUAGGCGACGAUACAUAGCCGACCUGAGAGGGUGAUCGGCCACACUGGGACUGUGACACGGCCCAGACUCCUACGGGAGGCAGCAGUAGGGAAUCUUCGGCAAUGGACGAAAGUCUGACCGAGCAACGCCGCGUGAGUGAAGAAGGUUUUCGGAUCGUAAAGCUCUGUUGUAAGAGAAGAACGGGUGUGAGAGUGGAAAGUUCACGCUGUGACGGUAUCUUACCAGAAAGGGACGGCUAACUACGUG
RNAcentral lists this ribosomal RNA (505 nucleotides) under uncultured bacterium. RNAcentral describes it as "partial 16S ribosomal RNA". It matches the Rfam family "Bacterial small subunit ribosomal RNA", at positions 28 to 507 of the family's 1533-position model. The record is from RNAcentral.